CAAUGUGGUUGAGGUCAGGACUCUGACUGGGCCACUCCAGAAGGUCAGGACUCUGACUGGGCCACUCCAGAAGGUCAGGACUCUGACUGGGCCACUCCAGAAGGUCAGGACUCUGACUGGGCCACUCCAGAAGGUCAGGACUCUGACUGGGCCACUCCAGAAGGUCAGGACUCUGACUGGGCCACUCCAGAAGGUCAGGACUCUGACUGGGCCACUCCAGAAGGUCAGGACUCUGACUGGGCCACUCCAGAAGGUCAGGACUCUGACUGGGCCACUCCAGAAGGUCAGGACUCUGAAUGGGCCACUCCAGAAGG
This is a long non-coding RNA of Oncorhynchus keta (chum salmon), 314 nucleotides long. RefSeq lists it as uncharacterized. NCBI's taxonomy places the organism in Eukaryota, Metazoa, Chordata, Actinopteri, Salmoniformes, Salmonidae. The transcript has 4 exons. The record is from RefSeq and is a predicted model, not a curated record.